RNAcentral lists this long non-coding RNA (1649 nucleotides) under Solanum tuberosum (potato). RNAcentral describes it as "long non-coding RNA (STUB_LNC011445)". Lineage: Eukaryota; Viridiplantae; Streptophyta; Magnoliopsida; Solanales; Solanaceae. The record is from RNAcentral.
UUGGAGAUAAAUGACGAUAUAGAUUGUUCCAGGACAGUUCUAGAGUUUAUGAUAUAGUGUAGCCAGCAAACAUGCAGAUGCAUGUUAAGAAGCAGAAAUCUAAUAACCUAAAUAGUAAGCCAAAGCAGUUGAGUACUAGCAAGAAUACAAAAAAAAUAAUUUUUCAAACUACAGUAUACCUACCUCGUCAUCAAUAGUUCUGAAGUUUUUGAAAGUCACUGCAAGAUCGUUAAACAAGCUUUAGAUGGAAAUUUUCCUGGACAAUUGAAGUUCAUACAAUCUUUUCAAGUUAAGAAACAGUGAAUAUUCAUCAUCACCAUCAUGCAACAGCAAAAAAUGGACAUUUAACCAACAUGCAUCAAUAAAACACAUAGUCACCUUCAAUUUGUUAAGGGCACAUACAACAACUUCUUUUAUUGCAGAUUUAAGUAUAAUAAUGAGCUCAUCUCCAAUCCCCUUCAAUUUGUUAAGGGCAAAGUCCUGUAACUCCCCAUAACUCUCAGUAGCACAAAAUUUCAGAGCUUUUACACAAGAUCUCAGAGCUUCCAUCUCACCAUGCUUAAAAAUGCCUUUUUCAUGAAAAGGACAUAUUUAAAAAUCUAGGAAAGCAAAAUAAAACAGAUUUUAGUUUCAAGUUCAAAAAAAUUUAUUUCAUAUUGGCAAUCCCCUAGAUAGUUCAUGAUUGUAAUAAGUUUAAUUGUUCUAGAUGCGGGCUUUUAUACAGUUUAAAGAAAAAUAAUAGUUUUAGAGCCAUACUACUAUUACUCUAUACAACAGUAAGAUGUGAGCUAGAGCUGCCACAAAUUUAGAGAAAACAUUGAUAGGGAGAGCAAAAACCACCUGGAAUAUUUAGUUGGCGUUCACAAAGCUUCCAGAACUUUUGAAGAAUGGAUUCAUCUGGAGAGUAUCCCAAAGCUUCUAGCUCUGUGGAUGCAAAGGUUGCUUUCCUGAACAACCACCACUGUUCUGAAAAAAUAACACAACCUAGACAAAAAAAAAACAAACUCAAUUAAUCAAAAGAGAGCAUAGAAGGCACUAACAGGAGAGAAGUGAACAUAGAAGUUUGGAAUAAUGGUUACCAUACAUGCAAGUUGACGCACAAAGUCCUUCCAAAGAUUUAGUAGUCAGGAAGGACUCAAGUAGUUCAAACAAGGCACUGUGCUUGGAGAUAAAGGAAGAUAUAGAUUGUUCCAGGACUGAUCCAGAGUUUAUGAUAGUGUAGAUAGCAAACAUGAAGAUGCAAGUUAAGAAGCAUAAAUCCAAUAAGCUGAGCAGUAAGCCAAAACAGUUAGGUAUUGGCAAGACUUCAAAACAGAAUUUCUCAAACUACGGUAUACCUACCUCGUCAUCAAUUCUUCUGAAGUUUUUGAAAGUUUCUACAAGAUUGUUAAGCAAGCUUUCGAUGGAAAUUUGCCUGAACAAUUGAAGUUCAUACAACCUUUUCAAGUUAAGAAGAAGUGAAUAUUCAUCAUCACCAUCAUGCAACAAAAAAAAAAUGGACAUUUAACCAACAUGCAUCAAUAAAACACAUAGUCACCUUCAAUUUGUUAAGGGCACAUACAACAACUUCUUUUAUUGCAGAUUUAAGUAUAAUAAUGAGCUCAUCUCCAAUCCCCUUCAAUUUGUUAAGGGCAAAGUCCUAUAACUCC